CGGUCAACUGGCGCAGGACGCAGGCUGGCUGAUGGCCAGCGAGAUGAUCGCCAUGGAUAUCGAUAUCAGUUUCGCCCCGGUGCUGGACGU
This 90-nucleotide transfer RNA is filed under the name Enterobacter hormaechei. RNAcentral describes it as "tRNA-Ile(gat)". Lineage: Bacteria; Pseudomonadati; Pseudomonadota; Gammaproteobacteria; Enterobacterales; Enterobacteriaceae. The record is from RNAcentral.